UACGUAGGGGGCAAGCGUUGUCCGGAAUCAUUGGGCGUAAAGAGCGUGUAGGCGGCCCGGUAAGUCUGCUGUGAAAGUCCAGGGCUCAACCCUGGGAUGCCGGUGGAUACUGUCGGGCUAGAGUACGGAAGAGGCGAGUGGAAUUCCCGGUGUAGCGGUGAAAUGCGCAGAUAUCGGGAGGAACACCAAUUGCGAAGGCAGCUCGCUGGGACGUCACUGACGCUGAGACGCGAAAGCGUGGGGAGCAAACAGG
Molecule: ribosomal RNA, 253 nt
Filed under: uncultured bacterium
Lineage: Bacteria
Description: partial 16S ribosomal RNA
Rfam family: Bacterial small subunit ribosomal RNA
Source: RNAcentral